CCUACGGGUGGCAGCAGUAGGGAAUCUUCCACAAUGGGCGAAAGCCUGAUGGAGCAACGCCGCGUGGGUGAAGAAGGUCUUCGGAUCGUAAAACUCUGUUGUCAGAGAAGAAAGUGCGUGAGAGUAACUGUUCACGUUUCGACGGUAUCUAACCAGAAAGCCACGGCUAACUACGUGCCAGCAGCCGCGGUAAUACGUAGGUGGCAAGCGUUAUCCGGAUUUAUUGGGCGUAAAGGGAACGCAGGCGGUCUGUUAAGUCUGAGGUGAAAGCCUUCGGCUUAACCGGAGUAGUGCAUUGGAAACUGGGAGACUUGAGGGCAGGAGAGGAUAGUGGAACUCCAUGUGUAGCGGUGAAAUGCGUAGAUAUAUGGAGGAACACCAGUGGCGAAGGCGGCUCUCUGGUCUGUAACUGACGCUGAGGUUCGAAAGCGUGGGUAGCAAACAGGAUUAGAUACCCUGGUAGUC
This 465-nucleotide ribosomal RNA is filed under the name uncultured bacterium. RNAcentral describes it as "partial 16S ribosomal RNA". It matches the Rfam family "Bacterial small subunit ribosomal RNA", at positions 338 to 795 of the family's 1533-position model. The record is from RNAcentral.